RNAcentral lists this ribosomal RNA (754 nucleotides) under Escherichia coli. Its description in RNAcentral is "partial 23S ribosomal RNA". It matches the Rfam family "Bacterial large subunit ribosomal RNA", at positions 478 to 1230 of the family's 2925-position model. The record is from RNAcentral. Lineage: Bacteria; Pseudomonadati; Pseudomonadota; Gammaproteobacteria; Enterobacterales; Enterobacteriaceae.
GACUGACCGAUAGUGAACCAGUACCGUGAGGGAAAGGCGAAAAGAACCCCGGCGAGGGGAGUGAAAAAGAACCUGAAACCGUGUACGUACAAGCAGUGGGAGCACAGAGCAAUCUGUGUGACUGCGUACCUUUUGUAUAAUGGGUCAGCGACUUAUAUUCUGUAGCAAGGUUAACCGAAUAGGGGAGCCGAAGGGAAACCGAGUCUUAACUGGGCGUUAAGUUGCAGGGUAUAGACCCGAAACCCGGUGAUCUAGCCAUGGGCAGGUUGAAGGUUGGGUAACACUAACUGGAGGACCGAACCGACUAAUGUUGAAAAAUUAGCGGAUGACUUGUGGCUGGGGGUGAAAGGCCAAUCAAACCGGGAGAUAGCUGGUUCUCCCCGAAAGCUAUUUAGGUAGCGCCUCGUGAAUUCAUCUCCGGGGGUAGAGCACUGUUUCGGCAAGGGGGUCAUCCCGACUUACCAACCCGAUGCAAACUGCGAAUACCGGAGAAUGUUAUCACGGGAGACACACGGCGGGUGCUAACGUCCGUCGUGAAGAGGGAAACAACCCAGACCGCCAGCUAAGGUCCCAAAGUCAUGGUUAAGUGGGAAACGAUGUGGGAAGGCCCAGACAGCCAGGAUGUUGGCUUAGAAGCAGCCAUCAUUUAAAGAAAGCGUAAUAGCUCACUGGUCGAGUCGGCCUGCGCGGAAGAUGUAACGGGGCUAAACCAUGCACCGAAGCUGCGGCAGCGACGCUGAUGCGUUGUUGGGUA